Molecule: long non-coding RNA, 234 nt
Filed under: Brassica rapa (field mustard)
Lineage: Eukaryota; Viridiplantae; Streptophyta; Magnoliopsida; Brassicales; Brassicaceae
Description: long non-coding RNA (BRAP_LNC008307)
Source: RNAcentral
GAAACAGUCCUGAACCUUUUCUCUCAUGGGUUGAAAACAUAGACAACUUCAUUGAAAAGAAUCAAGUACCUUCAUGGGAGAAGCUACGCCUUGCUGUCAGUCUACUGCGGGGGGAGGCUAAAGCAUGGUGGAGAGCAGAGGAGGAAGCACGCUGGUAUGAUGAAGAACCGAUCUACACUUGGGAGGAGCUUAAAGAAAUCAUGGGUUCUAAGUAUGUACCCAAUUCUCAGUGGG